RNAcentral lists this ribosomal RNA (459 nucleotides) under uncultured bacterium. RNAcentral's name for it is "partial 16S ribosomal RNA". It matches the Rfam family "Bacterial small subunit ribosomal RNA", at positions 338 to 795 of the family's 1533-position model. The record is from RNAcentral.
CCUACGGGAGGCAGCAGUGAGGAAUAUUGGUCAAUGGGAGAGAUCCUGAACCAGCCAAGCCGCGUGAGGGAAGACGGCCCUAUGGGUUGUAAACCUCUUUUGUCGGAGAACAAAACCCGGGACGUGUCCCGGACUGCGUGUAUCCGAAGAAAAAGCAUCGGCUAACUCCGUGCCAGCAGCCGCGGUAAUACGGGGGAGGCGAGCGUUAUCUGGAUUUAUGGGGUUAAAAGGGUGCAUAGGCGUGCCGUUAAGUCAGCGGUAAAAUGGCGGGGCACAACCCCGUAGAGCCGUUGAAACUGGCAGACUUGAGUGGGCGAGAAGUACGCGGAAUGUGCGGUGUAGCGGUGAAAUGCAUAGAUAUCGCGCAGAACUCCGAUUGCGAAGGCAGCGUACCGGCGCCAGACUGACGCUGAGGCACGAAAGCGUGGGGAUCGAACAGGAUUAGAUACCCCAGUAGUC